GAUGAACACUGGCGGCGUGCUUAACACAUGCAAGUCGAACGGAAAGGCCACAGCUUGCUGUGGUACUCGAGUGGCGAACGGGUGAGUAACACGUGGGUGAUCUGCCCUGUACUUCGGGAUAAGCUUGGGAAACUGGGUCUAAUACCGGAUAGGAAUCACAUGUGGGUGUGUGGUUGGAAAGCUUUUGCGGUAUGGGAUGAGCUCGCGGCCUAUCAGCUUGUUGGUGGGGUAAUGGCCUACCAAGGCGUCGACGCGUAGCCGGCCUGAGAGGGUGUACGGCCACAUUGGGACUGAGAUACGGCCCAGACUCCUACGGGAGGCAGCAGUGGGGAAUAUUGCACAAUGGGCGCAAGCCUGAUGCAGCGACGCCGCGUGGGGGAUGACGGCCUUCGGGUUGUAAACUCCUUUCGUCAGGGACGAAGCGAAAGUGACGGUACCUGGAGAAGAAGCACCGGCUAACUACGUG
This 466-nucleotide ribosomal RNA is filed under the name uncultured bacterium. Its description in RNAcentral is "partial 16S ribosomal RNA". It matches the Rfam family "Bacterial small subunit ribosomal RNA", at positions 28 to 507 of the family's 1533-position model. The record is from RNAcentral.